RNAcentral lists this long non-coding RNA (706 nucleotides) under Mus pahari (shrew mouse). Its description in RNAcentral is "lncRNA (MGP_PahariEiJ_G0002584.1)". The record is from RNAcentral. Lineage: Eukaryota; Metazoa; Chordata; Mammalia; Rodentia; Muridae.
GUUCGAGUGGCAGCUUGGGGCGUAGCGGGCGUGAACUUCCCAGAGUUUCUCAGAUUGUUAGAUAUUGAAGGUAGUGACUGAAAAAUCAUUGCAGUAAUCCCAGGGAAGGAAAGCUCGAGUCGUUCCACCUGUGUCUUCUGCUCCGGUCCGCAAGAGUUUUGCUGAAUUAAAAGUCACUACUUUAAUUAAAAAGCAGGAUAAACCUGGGUUUGGGAGUCGGAAGGCCUUAGGAGGCUCAAGAGCACCAGUUGAGGAAGUGUGAACAUUUUGACUGGAGUCAAUCUCAACCCAAUCAACUUUCCCUGUGCUGGCCAACCCUUUCAUCACAAGCCAUAUAUAUAGCUGCUGAGCCCUGGAAAUGGCAUCAGAAACGAUGAGGCUACGUGCUUAACUCCCACUGUUUUCUCUCCAGCUCAGCACUCCACAGACAGAAAGUCUGUGGUGAGGAGCAGUGGGUAUCUGUACCACUGCAUCCCAUAUUCCAAAAGGCUUUCAGUUCUAGACAGGGUUUCUCUGUGUAGCCCUGGCUGUCCAGGAACUCAAACCUUGUAGACCAGGCUGGCCUCGAACUCAGAGAUCCAUCUACCUCUGCCUCCUGAGUGCUGGGAUUAAAGGCAUCUGAUGCUACCAUUCUGCAUCUACUUCUAAAUGAGUGAAACUCAUGAGCUAAUGAAAUGAAUGGUUAAUAGUGUUGAACCUCUUAGAA